UUUAGGCUACAAGUUUUUUGAAAAAUUUGGUUUGAUUAGUUUUUGAUUCUUGUUGGUCUGUUUGCAUUUCUGACAACUAAACUUUACUGGACUAAACUACUGUGGCUUUUCUGAUAGUUUUGUGCUGUGUUCUUUUUUCCAGAAAUGGGAGUAGCUGUUAUGUGAAUGCUUUUCCUUUAGCUGCAGAUGCAGGUAAUUCUGUAGUCUUUUUGGUUUUGGAGUGAACCGUGUAAUGAAAUUGAUAUCUGAAAUACCAUUGUACAUCUAGACAAUUAUUUUGACGGAAUUUCUGUUUUUCUUUUUAUUGGUUAAUAUUACAUUGUUAAAACUUCAAAGUGCGAGUGUUGUCUUGGAUUUUCAUUGUGUUGUUUUAUUCUUAAGCUAAAGGAAAGCUGUUUUUCACUUUGCAGUGGUUUGUUUUUUUGGUAUAAUUGUUAUAGUUCCUGUAGUUUCUGUUUAGCUGCAGAUUCAUACACUGCAAACCUUGUUUUUGAGGUAGGGGGUCUUUCUGACUAUUUCUGGUAUCCAUUCAUGUUUUUUUAUAUUUAUUUUUCUGGUCAGUCUUUUUUGCUGAUGGGACAUUAUUGUUUUGUUCCCUCUUGCGCAGAGUGUACAUUUUGUUGCAUUGUUAGUGAUUCAGAUGUUAGAAUACAAGUCGAACUUCUGGUUGAGACUUCAGAUCCAGUUACCUAUGUAUUUGCAAGUACUACUCGGGACAAUCCUAUUAAUCUUCGCCAUGCUACUUCAAGCCAGGUGCUUAAUCAGUAUUCCUAACAUAUUUUUAACAAAGAUAAAGUGGCUUUCCUAACUCUCAUGGAGAACAAAUAAUAUUUUUGCAAUUUGCUGAAAGUUGAUGUAAUGAAAAUGGAACCAAUCCUUGUCAAAAUUUAAUGCCUACCGGUCAUUAACAUGCACCUCUUUGUAUUAAGUUUACUUCUCGAAAAUCACAAAGAACAGAAGAACUAUGUACUAUGACAGAUGCUGCUUUGAGUGAAGUACAUAAUUAUAACUGCUACAAGUUAUGAAACUCUUUGUAAGAUGGUGGUAAUGUGUUAACAAAUUACAGAAUCAGUGUGUAACUUUCCUUGUGGCAAUAUCUAAAUCACUUUCGUAAGCUUGGCUGAUUGCUACAAGAAUCAAUUGUAAGAUCUUAAUUUUCAUCUUAUAGAGUACGAAAUGUUUAUAUAUAUAAAGAUUAUCUGCAGUUCACAUAAUCCGUGCUCCUGUUGGUCUUAGUGACCUAUCUUGUAUUCUUUCACCUUGUUUAUUACUUUUGUUUGCGAGGUGGAUCCCUGCGCUACGGACUGCUAUGUUUGAUUAGUGAAUCUCCUGUCUCUCACCAGUGUUUUUUUUCUUCUCCCCCCCUUACUGUUUUGGGGUUUUCAACGUAAAUCUUGUCUUCUUAUCUAUAAUUUUCUUCCUUGAUUAUGUUUUCCAUAGUUUGUUGCAACACAUGUAUUGAGUUCUGAUAGAAACUCAAUGUUGUUUUUUUCUUGUAGGAAAUUUGCUGGAAUAACAAAAGUGUCAGGAUUUUAGAUAUUCAUCAGUGUUGAGAUAACAAGUACAAAUACAAAGAUGGAAAGCUCCCAACUAAAAGAAGGUAGCAGAGAAUGCAGUAACAGCAGUAGGGGCAAAGCUUCAGCAACUCAAGAACAAGAAAGUAGUAGUUAGAAUUAGCCAUAGCUAGGCUAUGUAAGCAAGGUGGUGAGAUGAAUCACUUUUAAAUAUAGAGUUUUUGACAAAAGUGAUUUUUAUAAAAAAAUUAAUAUAAUGUUUGGUUUGCAUAA
RNAcentral lists this long non-coding RNA (1787 nucleotides) under Panax ginseng (ginseng). RNAcentral's name for it is "long non-coding RNA (PGIN_LNC018049)". The record is from RNAcentral. Lineage: Eukaryota; Viridiplantae; Streptophyta; Magnoliopsida; Apiales; Araliaceae.